AAACAUGUCCUUAUGAAUUUUAUAUUUAAGGUCUAACCUGCCCAAUGAAUAUUAUUUUUAAUGGCCGCGGUAUUUUAACCGUGCUAAGGUAGCAUAAUCAUUUGUCUUUUAAUUGAAGGCUUGUAUGAAGGGUUGGACGAGGAACUAGCUUUCUUUAACUCAAAUUAAAUGAAAUUAAUUUUUUAGUUAAAAGGCUAAAAUUUUUUUAUGGGACGAGAAGACCCUGUAGAUUUUUAUAUUUAAUUUUAGUAUUUAAGUUUAGUGAUUAAAUAAUAUUUUAUUAAAAUAAGUAUUUGGUUGGGGUGAUUGUAGAAUUUAAAGUAACUUCUAUUAUAUUAUAUCAUAAAUUAAUGUAAUUUUGAUCCAUUAUUAAUGAAAAUAAGAUUAAAUUACCUCAGGGAUAACAGCGUAAUUUUUUCGGAGAGUUCUUAUCGAUGAAAGAGUUUGCGACCUCGAUGUUGGAUUAAAAUAAGUAUUGGGCGCAGUAGCCUGAGAACUAGGUUUGUUCAACCUUUAAUUUUUUACAUGAUCUGAGUUCA
Molecule: ribosomal RNA, 539 nt
Filed under: Physoderes sp. 00052221
Lineage: Eukaryota; Metazoa; Arthropoda; Insecta; Hemiptera; Reduviidae
Description: partial 16S ribosomal RNA
Rfam family: Bacterial large subunit ribosomal RNA
Source: RNAcentral